UAGGGAAUCUUCCACAAUGGGCGAAGCCUGAUGGAGCAACGCCGCGUGAGUGAAGAAGGGUUUCGGCUCGUAAAACUCUGUUGUUAAAGAAGAACAUAUCUGAGAGUAACUGUUCAGGUAUUGACGGUAUUUAACCAGAAAGCCACGGCUAACUACGUGCCAC
This 163-nucleotide ribosomal RNA is filed under the name uncultured bacterium. Its description in RNAcentral is "partial 16S rRNA". It matches the Rfam family "Bacterial small subunit ribosomal RNA", at positions 355 to 511 of the family's 1533-position model. The record is from RNAcentral.